Molecule: ribosomal RNA, 811 nt
Filed under: Actinopolyspora sp. 41910
Lineage: Bacteria; Bacillati; Actinomycetota; Actinomycetes; Actinopolysporales; Actinopolysporaceae
Description: bacterial SSU rRNA
Rfam family: Bacterial small subunit ribosomal RNA
Source: RNAcentral
GCUCGCACCCCGUGUGCUUUCCCCUUUCGGGGGGUUGGUGGGGUGUGGGAGUGGCGGACGGGUGAGUAACACGUGAGUAACCUGCCCUGGGCGUGGGGAUAACCCUGGGAAACUGGGGCUAAUACCGGAUGGCUCGCAUCUCUCGCAUGGGGGGUGUGGGAAAGGUUCUCUCCUGUGAGGGGGGGUUCCGGCCUGGGAGGGGCUCGCGGCCCAUCAGCUUGUUGGUGCGGUGAGGGCGUACCAAGGCGAUGACGGGUAGCCGGCCUGAGAGGGUGAUCGGCCACACUGGGACUGAGACACGGCCCAGACUCCUACGGGAGGCAGCAGUGGGGAAUUUUGCGCAAUGGGCGGAAGCCUGACGCAGCGACGCCGUGUGGGGGAGGACGGCCUUCGGGUUGUAAACCCCUUUCGGCCCUGACGAAUGUGACGGUAGGGGCUAAAGAAGCGCCGGCUAACUACGUGCCAGCAGCCGCGGUAAUACGUAGGGCGCGAGCGUUGUCCGGAUUUACUGGGCGUAAAGGGCUCGUAGGCGGUUUGUCGCGUCGGUCGUGGAAAUGUGCGGCUUAACCGGGCACGUGCGGCCGAUACGGGCAGACUCGAGGGCGGUAGGGGCAAGCGGAAUUCCUGGUGUAGCGGUGAAAUGCGCAGAUAUCAGGAGGAACACCGAUGGCGAAGGCAGCUUGCUGGGCCGUUCCUGACGCUGAGGAGCGAAAGCAUGGGGAGCGAACAGGAUUAGAUACCCUGGUAGUCCAUGCUGUAAACGUUGGGCGCUAGGUGUGGGGACCGGGUGAUGGUGUCCGUGCCGUAGCUA